This 465-nucleotide ribosomal RNA is filed under the name Vreelandella stevensii. RNAcentral describes it as "partial 16S ribosomal RNA". It matches the Rfam family "Bacterial small subunit ribosomal RNA", at positions 338 to 795 of the family's 1533-position model. The record is from RNAcentral. Lineage: Bacteria; Pseudomonadati; Pseudomonadota; Gammaproteobacteria; Oceanospirillales; Halomonadaceae.
CCUACGGGGUGCAGCAGUGGGGAAUAUUGGACAAUGGGCGAAAGCCUGAUCCAGCCAUGCCGCGUGUGUGAAGAAGGCCUUCGGGUUGUAAAGCACUUUCAGUGGGGAAGAAAGCCUUGGGGCUAAUACCCUCGAGGAAGGACAUCACCCACAGAAGAAGCACCGGCUAACUCCGUGCCAGCAGCCGCGGUAAUACGGAGGGUGCGAGCGUUAAUCGGAAUUACUGGGCGGAAAGCGCGCGUAGGCGGUCUGAUAAGCCGGUUGUGAAAGCCCCGGGCUCAACCUGGGAACGGCAUCCGGAACUGUCAGGCUAGAGUGCAGGAGAGGAAGGUAGAAUUCCCUGUGUAGCGGUGAAAUGCGUAGAGAUCGGGAGGAAUACCAGUGGCGAAGGCGGCCUUCUGGACUGACACUGACGCUGAGGUGCGAAAGCGUGGGUAGCAAACAGGAUUAGAUACCCUUGUAGUC